Molecule: ribosomal RNA, 253 nt
Filed under: uncultured bacterium
Lineage: Bacteria
Description: partial 16S ribosomal RNA
Rfam family: Bacterial small subunit ribosomal RNA
Source: RNAcentral
UACGUAGGUGGCAAGCGUUGUCCGGAUUCAUUGGGUUUAAAGGGUGCGUAGGCGGCCUUGUAAGUCAGUGGUGAAAUACUCCAGCUUAACUGGAGGGGUGCCAAUGAUACUGCAGGGCUUGAGUACAGAUGAGGUAGGCGGAAUUGACGGUGUAGCGGUGAAAUGCAUAGAUAUCGUCAAGAACACCGAUAGCGAAGGCAGCUUACUGGGCUGUAACUGACGCUGAGGCACGAAAGUGUGGGGAUCAAACAGG